Molecule: ribosomal RNA, 460 nt
Filed under: uncultured Treponema sp.
Lineage: Bacteria; Pseudomonadati; Spirochaetota; Spirochaetia; Treponematales; Treponemataceae
Description: partial 16S ribosomal RNA
Rfam family: Bacterial small subunit ribosomal RNA
Source: RNAcentral
ACGGGAGGCAGCAGCUAAGAAUAUUCCGCAAUGGACGAAAGUCUGACGGAGCGACGCCGCGUGGAUGAUGAAGGUCGGAAGAUUGUAAAAUCCUUUUAUAACUGAGGAAUAAGCGUUAUCCGAGAAAGGUAAUGUGGUGACUGUAGGUUAUGAAUACGCAACGGCUACUUACGUGCCAGCAGCCGCGGUAACACGUAAGUUGCGAGCGUUGUUCGGAAUUAUUGGGCGUAAAGGGCAUGUAGGCGGUUCUGCAAGCUUGAUGUGAAAGGCAGGAGCUCAACUCCUGGACUGCGUUGAGAACUGCAGGACUAGAGUCACUGAGGGGCAAUCAGAAUUCCAGGUGUAGGGGUGAAAUCUGUAGAUAUCUGGAAGAAUACCAAUGGCGAAGGCAGGUUACCAGCAGAUGACUGACGCUGAGGUGCGAAAGCGCGGGGAGCAAACAGGAUUAGAUACCCUGGUA